RNAcentral lists this ribosomal RNA (1538 nucleotides) under Clostridioides difficile. RNAcentral describes it as "partial 23S ribosomal RNA". It matches the Rfam family "Bacterial large subunit ribosomal RNA", at positions 1 to 1532 of the family's 2925-position model. Lineage: Bacteria; Bacillati; Bacillota; Clostridia; Peptostreptococcales; Peptostreptococcaceae. The record is from RNAcentral.
AGUUAAGUUAGAAAGGGCGCACGGUGGAUGCCUUGGCACUAGGAGCCGAUGAAGGACGGGAUUAACACCGAUAUGCUUUGGGGAGCUGUAAGUAAGCUUUGAUCCAGAGAUUUCCGAAUGGGGAAACCCUCUAUCCGUAAUGGGAUAGAAUCUUUACCUGAAUACAUAGGGUACUGAAGGCAGACCCGGGGAACUGAAACAUCUAAGUACCCGGAGGAAGAGAAAGCAAACGCGAUUCCCUGAGUAGCGGCGAGCGAAACGGGAUUAGCCCAAACCAAGAGGCUUGCCUCUUGGGGUUGUAGGACACUCUAUAUGGAGUUACAAAGGAACGGGGUAGACGAAUCGAUCUGGAAAGGUCAGUCGUAGAAGGUAAAAACCCUGUAGUCGAAACUUCGUUCCCUCUUGAGUGUAUCCUGAGUACGGCGGGACACGAGAAAUCCCGUCGGAAGCAGGGAGGACCAUCUCCCAAGGCUAAAUACUCCCUAGUGACCGAUAGUGAACCAGUACCGUGAGGGAAAGGUGAAAAGCACCCCGGAAGGGGAGUGAAAUAGAUCCUGAAACCGUGUGCCUACAAGUAGUUAGAGCCCUUUUAUGGGUGAUAGCGUGCCUUUUGUAGAAUGAACCGGCGAGUUACGAUUACAUGCGAGGUUAAGUUGAUAAGACGGAGCCGCAGCGAAAGCGAGUCUGAAUAGGGCGAAAUAGUAUGUGGUUGUAGACCCGAAACCAGGUGAUCUACCCAUGUCCAGGGUGAAGUCCAGGUAACACUGGAUGGAGGCCCGAACCCACGCACGUUGAAAAGUGCGGGGAUGAGGUGUGGGUAGCGGAGAAAUUCCAAUCGAACUUGGAGAUAGCUGGUUCUCUCCGAAAUAGCUUUAGGGCUAGCCUCAAGAUUUAGAGUAUUGGAGGUAGAGCACUGUUUGGACUAGGGGCCCCCAUCGGGUUACCGAAUUCAGACAAACUCCGAAUGCCAAAUACUUAUUCUUGGGAGUCAGACUACGAGUGAUAAGAUCCGUGGUCAAGAGGGAAACAGCCCAGACCACCAGCUAAGGUCCCAAAGUAUACGUUAAGUGGAAAAGGAUGUGGAGUUGCUUAGACAACCAGGAUGUUGGCUUAGAAGCAGCCACCAUUUAAAGAGUGCGUAAUAGCUCACUGGUCGAGUGACUCUGCGCCGAAAAUGUACCGGGGCUAAACGUAUCACCGAAGCUGUGGAUUGACAUCUAUGAUGUCAGUGGUAGGAGAGCGUUCUAAGGGCGUUGAAGCUAGACCGUAAGGACUGGUGGAGCGCUUAGAAGUGAGAAUGCCGGUAUGAGUAGCGAAAGAUGAGUGAGAAUCUCAUCCACCGAAUGCCUAAGGUUUCCUGAGGAAGGCUCGUCCGCUCAGGGUUAGUCGGGACCUAAGCCGAGGCUGAAAAGCGUAGGCGAUGGACAACAGGUUGAUAUUCCUGUACCACCUUUAAAUCGUUUGAGCAAUGGGGGGACGCAGGAGGAUAGGGUAAGCGUGCUGUUGGAUUAGCACGUCCAAGCAGUUAGGCCGGUAAU